AUUGAACGCUGGCGGCAUGCUUUACACAUGCAAGUCGAACGGCAGCGCGGGCUUCGGCCUGGCGGCGAGUGGCGAACGGGUGAGUAAUGCAUCGGAACGUGCCCAGUAGUGGGGGAUAGCCCGGCGAAAGCCGGAGUAAUACCGCAUACGACCUGAGGGUGAAAGCGGGGGACCGAAAGGCCUCGCGCGAUUUGAGCGGCCGAUGUCGGAUUAGCUAGUUGGUGGGGUAAAGGCUUACCAAGGCGACGAUCCGUAGCUGGUCUGAGAGGACGACCAGCCACACUGGGACUGAGACGCGGCCCAGACUCCUACGGGAGGCAGCAGUGGGGAAUUUUGGACAAUGGGGGCAACCCUGAUCCAGCCAUGCCGCGUGCGGGAAGAAGGCCUUCGGGUUGUAAACCGCUUUUGUUCGGGAAGAAAUCCUCUGGGCUAAUACCCCGGGGGGAUGACGGUACCGGAAGAAUAAGCACCGGCUAACUACGUG
Molecule: ribosomal RNA, 484 nt
Filed under: uncultured bacterium
Lineage: Bacteria
Description: partial 16S ribosomal RNA
Rfam family: Bacterial small subunit ribosomal RNA
Source: RNAcentral